CUGGUACAAAACUUUGAAAGGAAACAUGACCAGUUGAUCAGAUGUGUUUUAACAAGAAGAUUUAAAAAGAAGCAAAGACCUGUGAAAUUUAGGAUUACCAAACUUAAAAUUAGUCCAACUAAAAAAUGCACAAAAAAUAACUGCAUCACGCAACAGUAUCUGUCCUGAUUCCCAAUACCCAUUUUGAAGCUGACACCAAAC
This 201-nucleotide long non-coding RNA is filed under the name Panax ginseng (ginseng). RNAcentral's name for it is "long non-coding RNA (PGIN_LNC005505)". The record is from RNAcentral. Lineage: Eukaryota; Viridiplantae; Streptophyta; Magnoliopsida; Apiales; Araliaceae.